RNAcentral lists this ribosomal RNA (397 nucleotides) under uncultured bacterium. RNAcentral's name for it is "bacterial SSU rRNA". It matches the Rfam family "Bacterial small subunit ribosomal RNA", at positions 28 to 399 of the family's 1533-position model. The record is from RNAcentral.
GACGAACGCUGGCGGCGUGCUUAACACAUGCAAGUCGAACGAGAGGACAAGAGAAGCUUGCUUCUUUUGGAAUCGAGUGGCAAACGGGUGAGUAACACGUAAACAACCUGCCUUCAGGAUGGGGACAACAGACGGAAACGACUGCUAAUACCGAAUAAGUUCCAAGAGCCGCAUGGCCCAUGGAAGAAAAGGUGGCCUCUACCUGUAAGCUAUCGCCUGAAGAGGGGUUUNCGUCUGAUUAGCUGGUUGGAGGGGUAACGGCCCACCAAGGCGACGAUCAGUAGCCGGUCUGAGAGGAUGAACGGCCACACUGGAACUGAGACACGGUCCAGACUCCUACGGGAGGCAGCAGUGGGGAAUCUUCCGCAAUGGGCGAAAGCCUGACGGAGCAACGCCG